UGGAAGGUGAUUUUGGUCUCGAGACCAGCAUGAGGUAGAAAAGACCAUGCCAAUAUUUAGCCAAGGAAUUGUCACUCCAGGCACAGCACCAAGAUGUCGCAGGAUGGAUCCUGUAUUAUUAGGAAGGACUGUGAGGUUCCACCCAUGCCUAGAAAAUGGUUCAGAUUUCCCCACAGGAAAGCCGCUCCCAUGGGUGUUGGUAUCUACUUUUCCACAAUGCACUGCUACAUGGCUAUCUUUCUGUUCCACUAACCGCCAAUAUUCUUGCUCUACUUCAGCUACUGUAGGCUCCUUCGUGAAGCACAUGUUCAUGAUGUUUCUUGCUGUUCGGUAGAAGGUUGUUAAAGAAACAGACCUACCCUUGUAUAUACACUUGUGUAAGUCACUAAGAACUCCCUCCUCCUCUUCCUCCUCGUCAUCCUUUGUGGUCUCCUUUUCCUGAGCGAAGAGCCGCCGCCUGCCCGUCUUCAGUGGGACGUCGACCUCUUUUAACUUGUUGCGGAAGCCAUUUUUGUGAACCACGCCGUUGAUGAGUCCGUUUUUGGGCUCAAACCGGGGCAAGGAAUGGAACUUGUAGGCAUUCUCCGAAUGUCCCUCCAAAGGUCCUUUCCUCUUCUCCAAGAUUUCUUU
Molecule: long non-coding RNA, 630 nt
Filed under: Gallus gallus (chicken)
Lineage: Eukaryota; Metazoa; Chordata; Aves; Galliformes; Phasianidae
Source: RNAcentral